UACGGAGGAUGCAAGCGUUAUCCGGAUUCAUUGGGUUUAAAGGGUGCGUAGGCGGGAAAAUAAGUCAGUGGUGAAAGCCUACAGCUUAACUGUAGAAUUGCCAUUGAUACUGUUAUUCUUGAGUACAGUUGAAGUGGGUGGAAUGUGUGGUGUAGCGGUGAAAUGCUUAGAUAUCACACAGAACGCCAAUUGCGAAGGCAGCUCACUAAGCUGUUACUGACGCUGAGGCACGAAAGCGUGGGGAUCAAACAGGAUUAGAUACCCUGGUAGUCCACGCCGUAAACGAUGAUGACUCGCUGUUGGCGAUAUACUGUCAGCGGCUGAGCGAAAGCAUUAAGUCAUCCACCUGGGGAGUACGAUCGCAAGAUUGAA
Molecule: ribosomal RNA, 372 nt
Filed under: uncultured bacterium
Lineage: Bacteria
Description: bacterial SSU rRNA
Rfam family: Bacterial small subunit ribosomal RNA
Source: RNAcentral